CCUACGGGGGGCAGCAGUGGGGAAUAUUGGACAAUGGGCGCAAGCCUGAUCCAGCAAUGCCGCGUGUGUGAAGAAGGCCUGCGGGUUGUAAAGCACUUUCAGUGGGGAGGAAGGCCUCGAUAUUAAUACUAUUGAGGAUUGACGUUACCCACAGAAGAAGCACCGGCUAACUCUGUGCCAGCAGCCGCGGUAAUACAGAGGGGGCAAGCGUUAAUCAAAAUUAGCGGGGGUAGUGUGUUAAGUCAGGGGUGAAAGCCCCGGGCUCAACCUGGGAAUUGCAUUUGAUACUGAGUAACUUGAGUAUGGUAGAGGGAAGUGGAAUUUCCAGUGUAGCGGUGAAAUGCGUAGAUAUUGGAAGGAACAUCAGUGGCGAAGGCGACUUCCUGGACCAUUACUGACACUGAGGCACGAAAGCGUGGGGAGCGAACAGGAUUAGAUACCCUGGUAGUC
RNAcentral lists this ribosomal RNA (450 nucleotides) under uncultured bacterium. RNAcentral describes it as "partial 16S ribosomal RNA". It matches the Rfam family "Bacterial small subunit ribosomal RNA", at positions 338 to 795 of the family's 1533-position model. The record is from RNAcentral.